GAUGAACGCUGGCGGCGUGCCUAAUACAUGCAAGUCGAGCGAACAGACGAGGAGCUUGCUCCUCUGACGUUAGCGGCGGACGGGUGAGUAACACGUGGAUAACCUACCUAUAAGACUGGGAUAACUUCGGGAAACCGGAGCUAAUACCGGAUAAUAUAUUGAACCGCAUGGUUCAAUAGUGAAAGACGGUUUUGCUGUCACUUAUAGAUGGAUCCGCGCCGCAUUAGCUAGUUGGUAAGGUAACAGCUUACCAAGGCAACGAUGCGUAGCCGACCUGAGAGGGUGAUCGGCCACACUGGAACUGAGACACGGUCCAGACUCCUACGGGAGGCAGCAGUAGGGAAUCUUCCGCAAUGGGCGAAAGCCUGACGGAGCAACGCCGCGUGAGUGAUGAAGGUCUUCGGAUCGUAAAACUCUGUUAGUAGGGAAGAACAAAUGUGUAAGUAACUAUGCACGUCUUGACGGUACCUAAUCAGAAAGCCACGGCUAACUACGUG
Molecule: ribosomal RNA, 497 nt
Filed under: uncultured bacterium
Lineage: Bacteria
Description: partial 16S ribosomal RNA
Rfam family: Bacterial small subunit ribosomal RNA
Source: RNAcentral